AUUCGCAUUUCUUCAUUCCACAGAUAAAAAUUCUAUUAUAAAUUUUCUUUAUAUACCUGCAUUUCCGAACAGAUGUUAUUUCACACAGUUUACCGGUUUAUCCAUAAUGCAUUUAGUUAAGUUCAAAUUACAAGACUAUGAAAAGAGUCCAAAAAGCUAUUACAGUUUUAGGUUAAGUUAGGUUAAGAACAAGAAGACUUAAGUUUUAUUAAAAAUGCUCAAUUCUGAAGAUAAUAACGAAAUGAAUUUCUUUUUGAAAAAGAUUCUUAAGAAAUCCUUUAAGAAAAAAGAAUUCAAAAAACGUCUGAAGUUAACAGAAUAGCGACUCAAUGAAGCGUCUGAAGUUGAUUCUUACCGAUACAUUCAGGACUUGUAGAACGUACUAGUCGUCAAGCCCGUCGGAGGAAUCUAAUUUUAUAACGACCUAUAUUUAGCUGAAACUUAUUCCAGCAACGGUGUGCACCGGGUCACCGGACUUCUAUUUUACCAAUGCGAUAUCUCGAUCCAGCGUUAGUUUAACCAAGAAUUAGCAGAUUUUGCUCAACUACUAGAUAGCCUUUACUGGUUUUAUUUUUGCGCCAGUAUGACUGAUAUGAAUAUGUAGAACAUAGAAUGAAGUAUUGAGUUGCUUUUCUCAGAGGAAAAGAUUUAGAAUUUUUUUUUGUUCUCAUGUGCAAAAGAGGAAUUUACAUUCAAUUACUAAUGAAAGAAGGAUUUAUCAGAUUUUUUAAUGAUAAAUUUAUAUUUAUUAUUGUAUUAUCUCCAUUAUUUUAUAGUAUAUUAAGAAAAAUAUAUGUUAAUUUCAGUUUUUCUUAAUAAAUUAUUAAAAUAAAA
Molecule: long non-coding RNA, 834 nt
Organism: Apis cerana (Asiatic honeybee)
Lineage: Eukaryota; Metazoa; Arthropoda; Insecta; Hymenoptera; Apidae
Source: RefSeq, a predicted model, not a curated record